AACAAAAAUUUCCAGCGCAAGUAUCUUUCAAAAUCAUAGAAUGCGACAAGGAUCAUCCCAAAUUGUAACGAAGAGUAACUCGCUCCGAUAUAUUCAAGAAUUAAUUACAAUCUGACACUUUCUCGCGCGUCUAUCGAUGACGAUAAUCUUUCUAAUCUUCCUAAGUAGAAAAAGGAAAGCUCGAUUACAAAGACCGCAUAGACAUUGACAGAGGCAUUAGCUCCUAACUCGUAUUUGCAACAUAUCUACGAUUCUAAUCGAUUCUAAUCGAUCAGUUGAUUAGCUCAAGAGUGUGAUCGAUGGUUACUCCAUAGAUGAAAGUUCGGCAAUACUUAAAUGUCAGACGAAAAUAGCUGUAACAUAAUUGGGAAGUAUGAGAUGAAAUGAGAAAUGGUUAGGGACUUUGAUAGACCAUUUUUUGCAUAACCACGCGGUACAUUUAGUAUGAAUAUCCUGCUUGUACCUGCGUACAACUAUCCCAGAGAGGUACUACCCGGCAAGUACUACUACGAUACACUCGAGCGAACGUAAAGGACUUGGUUAUUAUUUUGAACCGCGUCUACUUGGCUCGAAAUAAUACCACUUGCUUUAGCCGGUUCAAAGGCAAUAACAAGAUAUCUCGACGACUUUCAACCUUUCCCAUUUCAUGGCGCGUACGAACUAAUUACAUACAUAAAAUUAAAUACAUAAAAUUCUACGGUACAUCAAAAAGUACAUUAUAUUUGGUUGAAGACGGAGCGUUCACACCGGACAGCUACCGUUGUUUUCAUUCGAGCCGCUUACUUGCCGAAUUGGUAAACACCAGAAAACGAAAAGUAGAGAAAAUCGACGACGGUACGUCUAAUUAUCGGUAUCUCGUGCAUCCCACCGAUUUCGAUGAUUUUUUAACACCCUGUAGAAAUCGAUAUUUCGAACAACUCUUUCCCAUACGUAUAACCACCGCUCGGCCAUAGUUUCCCAGAUAUAGGCAAAGCUGUCGAAACCACUACAGUGAACGCUGCCUGUAUAAUUCGUAAUUAUACGGACUCGUGUCCGUGACAGCGUUUGCCCUGGUAUUAGUUGGCCGCCGUCUGGUAAAGCGACAUUUAACCCAAACCUACAUAAACUACAAACAAAAGAUAAACAUUAGGUACGAGUUAGAUAUUAUUUUAUCUGGCCGCUAAUAUUAGCGCACACGCUGUCACGGCCAUACGUACAAUUAUAUACGCAAUUCUAUAUUCUGUAUUACGCAUAGAAUUCAUCACUGUGACGGUAGCGAUAGUUUAUCGCGAGUAUCAACUAAGGUAGAGUGACGAUCAUAUAUAUACAAACAAGUUGUUCAGAAUCGCAUCGCCGACAACAUGUAUAAUAAUCAUCGAAACCGUUUUUCAAGUCACGACCUCCGUGGAAUUAAUCUCUGUGCUUCUGGAUUAUUUGCCACGCGAUUACACAGUAAGUGGGAUAACUGAGGUAUAACGAAUACAGAGGGACAAUGAACGAUGAAAAUCGAGGUGGCUGGGGGGCGACCUGAUUUCCACUGUCCCCGGCUACAGCGGAGGCCGUCAACAAUGCGACUUUAUUCGACUCGGAAGAGGGGUCCAUUGGUUAAUGAGGUUAAGAGCGAGACUAGACGAUGCGAUGAGUCGAAUACAGAGUAGACCAAGUAUAGUAGCCUCCGUAAUAUAGUAAAGUUGUAAAAUCGAUACCCGGUGUUUGAGCAAAAAAAGUUAGCUUCGCCAUGUUGUUCGAAUUAUCUUUGAUCAAAUCGUAUUUUCCUAUCGUUGAAUAAUUUCUUAAAUUCGAGGGAAAUGUCGAGGUAAUUUCCUAACUUUCAGGAUUAAUAGUAGCGGUAACGAUUUCAUUUUCGCUCGGAUUUUCUCAAAAUAUUAAAACUACUCUUCGUUCGGUUGAAAUUAAUGUAAGAUUGAAAUACAUUGAUAUUCGAGGACCCUGAGAAUAAACGGACCGCAACUUUUGUCACGUUCGGUUCAUAUCGAAAAGAAUAGAGCGCUAUAAUAGGCCUGGGUAUGACAGCAUCGUUUAACACUCCAAUUCGCAACUUCAUUAUAUCAUAGUAACUGUUCGUACUCGACCACGAGAUAUUUCAACGUGUAGAGUUAAUAUUCGUAAAAAUUGGAGGUCUCUGGUUUGCGUAUAUUUAAAUGUACGAGCGUACGUGUAUUAAACGUAUCUAUGCUUCGAUUUAUCCAAUCCUUAAGCUUGAAACUUCGAUAUGGUGAAAAUGGAAAAAUGGUGAAAAUAUUCACAGCCGUGGUCUGUUUUCGUUCCUGUUUUCGCUACCGAAUUGCGUGCCACAGAAUCCAAUAUUGGACCAGUGAAACUAUUUUCAGCGAUCCGGAAACUCCGAUACCUAAACUGGGUGAAUCGAAUACUGAGAAAGGUCGUGUUGAUUAAUUCGUCCUAGAUUCUAUCAAAUCAUUAAUGCAAGUAAAUAUUCAAAGAUAUUUCUUCUCUAAAGAUGAAUUAAUAAGUAAAAACUGUUACCUUGUACAUUGUCGUGACUGUACAGAAUAAAAAUUACUUCGAUAAA
Bombus terrestris (buff-tailed bumblebee) is the source of this 2530-nucleotide long non-coding RNA. RefSeq lists it as uncharacterized. Lineage: Eukaryota; Metazoa; Arthropoda; Insecta; Hymenoptera; Apidae. The transcript has 2 exons. The record is from RefSeq and is a predicted model, not a curated record.